UACGGGGGGUGCAAGCGUUGUUCGGAUUUACUGGGCGUAAAGGGCGCGUAGGCGGCGCAGCAAGUCACUUGUGAAAUCUCCGGGCUUAACCCGGAGCGGCCAAGUGAUACUGUCGUGCUAGAGUGCGGAAGGGGCUACUGGAAUUCUCGGUGUAGCGGUGAAAUGCGUAGAUAUCGAGAGGAACACCUGCGGCGAAGGCGGGUAGCUGGGCCGACACUGACGCUGAGGCGCGAAAGCCAGGGGAGCGAACGGG
RNAcentral lists this ribosomal RNA (253 nucleotides) under uncultured bacterium. RNAcentral's name for it is "partial 16S ribosomal RNA". It matches the Rfam family "Bacterial small subunit ribosomal RNA", at positions 524 to 776 of the family's 1533-position model. The record is from RNAcentral.